This 253-nucleotide ribosomal RNA is filed under the name uncultured bacterium. RNAcentral describes it as "partial 16S ribosomal RNA". It matches the Rfam family "Bacterial small subunit ribosomal RNA", at positions 524 to 776 of the family's 1533-position model. The record is from RNAcentral.
UACAGAGGGUGCAAGCGUUGUUCGGAAUUAUUGGGCGUAAAGGGCGUGUAGGCGGUUUGCUAAGUCAUGUGUGAAAUCCCUCGGCUUAACCGAGGAACGACGCAUGAUACUGGCAAGCUAGAGUACCAAAGAGGGGGGUGGAAUUCCACGUGUAGCAGUGAAAUGCGUAGAGAUGUGGAGGAACACCGAUGGCGAAGGCAGCCCCCUGGGCUGAGAUUGACGCUCAGGCACGAAAGCGUGGGGAGCAAACAGG